CACGUAGGGUGCGAGCGUUGUCCGGAAUUAUUGGGCGUAAAGAGCGCGUAGGCGGUCCGUCACGUCGGAUGUGAAAUUCCAGGGCUCAACCCUGGAACUGCAUUCGAUACUGGCGGACUAGAGUUCGGUAGGGGAGACUGGAAUUCCUGGUGUAGCGGUGAAAUGCGCAGAUAUCAGGAGGAACACCGGUGGCGAAGGCGGGUCUCUGGGCCGAUAUUGACGCUGAUGCGCGAAAGCCAGGGGAGCAAACGGG
Molecule: ribosomal RNA, 253 nt
Filed under: uncultured bacterium
Lineage: Bacteria
Description: partial 16S ribosomal RNA
Rfam family: Bacterial small subunit ribosomal RNA
Source: RNAcentral